RNAcentral lists this ribosomal RNA (460 nucleotides) under uncultured bacterium. RNAcentral's name for it is "partial 16S ribosomal RNA". It matches the Rfam family "Bacterial small subunit ribosomal RNA", at positions 338 to 795 of the family's 1533-position model. The record is from RNAcentral.
CCUACGGGUGGCUGCAGUGAGGAAUAUUGGUCAAUGGGCGUAAGCCUGAACCAGCCAAGUCGCGUGAGGGAUGAAGGUUCUAUGGAUCGUAAACCUCUUUUAUAAGGGAAUAAAGUGCGGGACGUGUCCCGUUUUGUAUGUACCUUAUGAAUAAGGAUCGGCUAACUCCGUUCCAGCAGCCGCGGUAAUACGGAGGGUCCGGGCGUUAUCCGGAUUUAUUGGGUUUAAAGGGUGCGUAGGCCGCCUUUUAAGCCAGCGGUGAAAGUCUGUGGCUCAACCAUAGAAUUGCCGUUGGAACUGGGAGGAUUGAGUGUGUCUGAGGCAGGCGGAAUGCGUGGUGUAGCGGUGAAAUGCUUAGAUAUCACGCAGAACCCCGAUUGCGAAGGCAGCCUGCCAAGCCAUUACUGACGCUGAUGCACGAAGGCGUGGAGAUCAAACAGGAUUAGAUACCCUUGUAGUC